Molecule: microRNA, 22 nt
Filed under: Chlamydomonas reinhardtii
Lineage: Eukaryota; Viridiplantae; Chlorophyta; Chlorophyceae; Chlamydomonadales; Chlamydomonadaceae
Description: cre-miR1153-5p.1
Source: miRBase by way of RNAcentral
UGGGCCAUCGUAUUACUAUCAG